UUAAAAACCAAACAAUAAAAUACACACAAACAAAGAGGAAGGGUUUUAGUCCGUUCAUCCUAUCAAUAUUCAAGUGUCAUCUUCUAUUACCACACUACUUGUUUCUGCUUCAUUCUUGCUACCUGGGUUCGAUUCCUCACUUGGGUUAGUCUCAAUUUUGCUUUGCCUUUGAAAAACUACAACUUCUCUUCUCCAGUAGUAUUGGUCUUUCUUGCUUCUGGGUCUGUGAAUCUUCUCAACUUUAUCGCUUGGGUUGGUAUCGUUUGUGCUUUUAUUCGUAGAUUUAUGGUAUUUUGGCGCUUGGGUCGGUCUCAAAAUGCUAAAUUUUGUCUCUAAAACCCUUCAUUUUCUUGUAAUCAGAUAAGAGUGAUUGAAAAUGAUUAAGAAAAGGCCUGGUUCUUAUUGUUAUUACUAUUUCUUCAGGACUAGAAGAGCAAUUACAACUUGUUCUUUGCCAAUAGAGCCUACAAAUGCUUUUGUUUCACCUAUUGCCAGUGACCACAAAUCUCUGUGUCUCUCAUUGGCAGAGCAGCUCAUUCAACGUGGCUUGUUAUCGUCGGCGCAGCAAGUGGUUCGGCGAAUAAUAACACAUUCUUCAUCGGUUUCUGAUGCUUUUUCGGUUGUUGAUUUUGCUGCUUUACAUGGCUUAGACCUUGAUUUGGGUAGCUAUGGCGAACUCAUUAGGAAACUGGUGUUUUCGGGUCAGCCCCAAUUGGCUCAGGCACUUUUUCGCGACAACAUUGUUGGUAGAGGUAUUGAUCCUGAUUUAUCGAUUUUGAAUUCUAUGGUUAUUUGUUUGUGUAAGUUAGAUAAAGUAGAGGAGGCAGGAGCUCAAUUUGAUAGGCUGCUUGAGAUGGGUGGAAUUCCUUGCAAAGCUGCUUGUAAUGCAAUGAUUUGGGGGCUUUAUGCUCAAGAUAGAAUUUUAGAAGCAUUUGAUUAUUUAGUUAGAGUUAAUGAGGCUGGAGCUACUCCUGGUAUUUUGUGUUUUAAUAAAUUGAUUUAUGGGUUAUGCUAUAAGGGGUAUAUGGAUGAAGCUCUUGAAUUGUUUGAUGUAAUGCGCUGUGGACAUGGUUAUCCACCUACACUCCAUCUAUAUAAAUCAAUAUUUUACAGUCUUUGUAAGAGAGGGCUGGUCGUAGAGGCAGAGUCACUAUUCAGAGAAAUGGAGUCUCAGGGUCUUUAUAUAGAUAGGGUGAUGUAUACUUCUUUGAUUAAUCAAUAUAGCAAGGAUAAGAAAAUGAAGAUGGCAAUGCGGGUUUUCUUGAGAAUGCUGAAGACAGAUUGUGAGCCAGAUAAUUACACAUAUAAUACAUUGAUUCAUGGGUUUUUGAAAUUGGGCUUGUUUGAUAAGGGGUGGCUGGUUUACAAACAGAUGGCAGGGUGGGGAAUCCAACCUGAUGCGGUAACUAAUCACCUUUUUAUCAGUAAGUACUGCAGGGAAGGGAAAGUUGAUUGUGCUUUGAUGCUUUUGAACAACAUGGUUAGUUGCAACUUAGCUCCUAAUGUCCAUUGUUACACGGUUUUAUUCAAUGCACUUUACAAGGAGAAUAGGCUAAUGGAAGUUUAUGAUUUGUUCAAAAGCAUGCUGGUAAGGGGGGUUGUUCCUGAUCAUGUGCUGUUUUUUGUCCUUAUGAAGAAGUAUCCAGAGGGGCAGAGGCUUGACCUUGCUCAUCUGAUUCUGCAGGCAAUCGCCAAGAAUGGGUGUGGUUUUGACCCUUCUAUGCUCUCAUCCUCUGCUAGUGUAAACUCUAAUGGGGACUUGGAGCGUGAAAUUGAGAUCCUGCUUGAUGGAAUUGUGAGAUGUAACUUUAAUUUGGCUAAUGUAGCAUUCGGUGUUGUUGUCAGUGCCUUGUGUGGAGAAGGAAGGCCAAAUGAUGCCUUGCUUUACAUGGAUAAAAUUGUGAGAGUUGGAUGCAUGCCUUUGCUUUUUACUUAUAACUCUUUGAUCAGGUGUCUAUGUCAGAAGGGCCUUUUUGAGGAUGCCAAUUACCUACUUGACCUUAUGCAAGAUCGAGGUGUGGUCCCAAAUCAAGCAACUUAUUUGAUAAUGGUAAAUGAACACUGUAAACGGGGUGAUCUGGUGUCAGCCUUCAAUAUUCUGGACCAAAUGGGUGAGAGGGGACUUAGACCUAAUGUUGCUAUAUAUGACACUAUUAUUGGUUGUCUAAGCAGAGAGAAAAGAAUCUUUGAAGCAGAAGAAAUGUUUAAGAUGAUGCUCGAGUCUGGUGUGGAUCCUGACGAGGUUGUCUAUGUGACAAUGAUUAAUGGCUACUCGAAGAAUGGAAGAGCUAUUGAAGCCCACCAGUUGUUUGAUAUAAUGUUAGAGAAUUCCAUUCAGCCAAGUUCUUAUUCCUACACUGCACUUAUAAGUGGGUUGGUGAAGAAAAAUAUGACUUAUAAGGGAUGCAUAUACCUUGAUAGGAUGUUGGGAGAUGGUCUUCAGCCAAAUACUGUGCUAUAUACCUCGCUUAUCAGUCUUUUCUUGAAGAAGGGUCAGUUCGAAUUUGCCUUUAGGUUAGUUGAUUUGAUGGACAGAAACCAGAUUGACACCGAUCUCAUCAUGUAUAUCUCACUUGUCAGUGGUGUUAGCAGAAAUGUCUCUGGUAUUAAGAAGGAAUUGUGUGUUAUAAAUAAAAAGUCUGAAAGGGAAAGAGAAAUGUUGUUCCAUUUACUCCAUCAGAAAACUCUUAUGCCAAUGAAGAAGAUUUUAAGAACUUCUGCUGAUACUCCCGAGGAGACGAAAUGCUUUGCUUUGAAGCUGAUGCAGAAGUUUAAAGACAUUGAGUUUAUGCCAAACUUGUACUUAUACAAUGGUAUAAUCUCUGGAUUUUGUAGGGCAGAGCAGAUGUGGGAUGCCUAUGAUCAUUUUGAAAAGAUGCAAAGAGAGGGUGUACAUCCCAAUGAGGUGACUUACACCAUUCUCAUUGAUGGGCAUAGUCGAUCUGGUGAUAUUAACAGUGCAAUAGGAUUGUUUAAUAAGAUGAAUGCAGAUGGUUUUGCUCCAGACAGAAUUGCGUAUAACACUUUACUGAAAGGCCUUUGUAAGGCUGGGAGACUACUUGAUGCCUUAUCACUCUCAUAUGCAAUGCGUAAGAGGGGGGUUUUCCCAAAUCGGUUUUCUUAUGAAUGUUUACUCAGUUGUUUUUGUGCAAGUGAUAUGAGUGUUCCUGCCUUCAAGAUAUUUGAAGAAAUGCUUGCUCAAAAUUAUAAACCUAAGCAGUUUAAUCACAACUGGUUGUUUUACAAAUUAUGUGAGGAUAAUAAUUUUCUUGAAGCCCGUAUGGUAUCUGAUAUGAUGCUUCAGAGAGGGAUAACUCCAAAACAUUCAACAAAGAGGUUUUAUUUGAAAACAUGCAAUGAGGGAAGUGAAGGUAAUCUAGCAUUAUGUUGUUGAAGGCAUAUCCUUGUGCAAAGUAAAAGUUAUUGCCUGAUACUGUUCAACACAUUUAGAGGAAUGAUGCCUACGAAAAACAAAGUGAUUUAUGCAGGAAUGGUGGAGAUCGUGAACUCCAAUCUUUGCCAAUGAGAUCAUUUGCAUGCAGCUGACAAGAAUCAGUUGGGCCUGGUGGAAGUCCAGAUGAAAAUGGAGAAACUACAAUUGGAGCUCUGGUCAUUGAUGGGGAAAGAAAGCCCUUGCUCAAAGUGAGACGGUUCUCAGAUAUUGAGGCAAUUCAUAAACAUAGAGUCGUUGCUGGUAGUUGGGGGGCUGAGUGUGAGUUUUUGGAAAGUAAAUUGCAGUCUUCAAACAAUGAAGUGAAGCUUGUCUGAGAACUAGAUUCACCCCAGUUGCUUCUCUACAAAGACAAUGGUGGAGGUGUUGUGUUAAAGAAAAGUCAACUUAUGGUUUCUUAAUACAAUCAGGAGAUGAUCCUCGGGAUUCCUGCUACAAUGAGCAGUUUUACAUCAAUGAGAGGGAGAUAUAAAAUUUAUAAAUGGCAAAAGAUUGCUUAGGAACUCUUUAAGUCUUAUAUGACUACGUACAUGGCAACUUCAGAUGAACAACUUACAGCUCUUGGUGAACUAUUGUAUCAGUGCAUCAUAGAUGGUGAAUUGGUCUAACGGAUAGCCCUAUUCCCUUGAGAAGAACUAAUUGGGGAAGCUAAAGCUGUUUUAAUGGCCAGGCUGUGACUCCAUGCUCCUUGGUCCGAAGACUUUGAUUGGUUUGUGUCUAAUUCCUGGUUUCCGAACCCAAGGGGAGUUGGUUAUUUCCUAAUUAAAAAUGCAUCAAUACUGCUAUGUAGAUAUUUGUUUAACUACUGGAAUGUGCUACAUCUCAAUAAAUGUAAUAAAUCUGUAAGAUGAUGCAAUAAAUUUGUCAUGGAUUUAUCCCAUGGGCCA
This is an RNA transcript of Quercus lobata, 4338 nucleotides long. It is a transcript of the gene named Tetratricopeptide repeat (TPR)-like superfamily protein, with no coding region annotated. The transcript has 9 exons. NCBI's taxonomy places the organism in Eukaryota, Viridiplantae, Streptophyta, Magnoliopsida, Fagales, Fagaceae. The record is from RefSeq and is a predicted model, not a curated record.